UGCCAGCAGCCGCGGUAAUACGAAGGGAACAAGUGUUACUCGGAAUAACUGGGCGUAAAGGGUUCGUAGGCGGACUAUUAAGUUUUAAGUGAAAUCCCAGAGCUUAACUUUGGAAAUACUUAGAAUACUGAUAGUCUUGAGUUUUGUAGGGGAUAGUGGAAUUUUUAGUGUAGAGAUAGAAUUCGAACAUAUUAAAAAGAACACCGAAAGCGAAGGCGACUAUCUGGACAAAAACUGACGCUGAGGAACGAAAGCAUAGGGAGCAAACAGGAUUAGAUA
Molecule: ribosomal RNA, 279 nt
Filed under: uncultured bacterium
Lineage: Bacteria
Description: partial 16S ribosomal RNA
Rfam family: Bacterial small subunit ribosomal RNA
Source: RNAcentral